This is a non-coding RNA of Triticum aestivum (bread wheat), 115 nucleotides long. The record is from Rfam. NCBI's taxonomy places the organism in Eukaryota, Viridiplantae, Streptophyta, Magnoliopsida, Poales, Poaceae.
AUAAUACUCCCUCCGUCCAGAAUUACUUUUCAUCAAAAUGGAUGUGUCUAGAACUAAAAUACAUCUAGAUACAUCCAUUUCAAUGAUAAGUAUUUUCGGACGGAGGGAGUAGUUG